This 452-nucleotide unclassified non-coding RNA is filed under the name uncultured fungus. Its description in RNAcentral is "sequence contains ITS2". The record is from RNAcentral. Lineage: Eukaryota; Fungi.
AACGCAACUUGCGCUCUUGGGUAUCCCUGAGAGCAUGCCUCUUUGAGUAUCGUUUCAACCCAAUCUCAGCUUCGUGCUGGGGAAAAUGAGUGUUCUUUUUUCGAUACAUUCCGUAUCGGAGAAUCACUUGAAAUUUCUAGCUGACACUAUUUCCAGCUUAUACCAAAACGCUUCUUGAUUUCAGUCCUGGGUUCCGCUAAAAGCUGCGCUUUUAGCCGGGUCAUGUUAGGAUCAAAUCAUCUAGCUUUGAUGUUGAUACUUGACUUUUUGUCAUACAAUUCUACAUCGAACUUGGAUUGAUCCGCUCUCUUAUAUGACUGCUAAGCCGGUAGGAACACCGUUGGAUGCUUGAAGUGUGAGUUGGACUUUCUUAUGUGUCGAUUCUUUAAACCCAAGACCUCGUGUCUUGAAAAUUUGAUCUCAAAUGAAGCAAGAGAACCCGCCGAAUUUAA